AACGAACGCUGGCGGCAGGCUUAACACAUGCAAGCCGAGCGAGAAGCUUUCCUUCGGGAAAGUGGAAAGCGGCGAACGGGUGAGUAACGCGUGGGUGACGUACCCCUUGGUGGGGAAUAACUCAGGGAAACUUGAGCUAAUACCGCAUAUGCUCUUCGGAGCAAAGGUUGCUUCGGCAAUCGCCAGGGGAGCGGCCCGCGUCCCAUUAGCUAGUUGGUGGGGUAAUGGCCUACCAAGGCGACGAUGGGUAGCCGGCCUGAGAGGGUGAUCGGCCACACUGGGACUGAGACACGGCCCAGACUCCUACGGGAGGCUGCAGUGGGGAAUUUUGCGCAAUGAGCGAAAGCUUGACGCAGCGACGCCGCGUACGGGAUGAAGGCCCUCGGGUUGUAAACCGUUGUCGUGGGGGACGAACACCCGUUGGAUGAAUAAGCCAACGGCCUGACGGUACCUCAUGAGAAAGCCCCGGCUAACUCCGUG
RNAcentral lists this ribosomal RNA (480 nucleotides) under uncultured bacterium. RNAcentral's name for it is "bacterial SSU rRNA". It matches the Rfam family "Bacterial small subunit ribosomal RNA", at positions 29 to 507 of the family's 1533-position model. The record is from RNAcentral.